GAUGAAGAACGCAGCGAAAUGCGAUAAGUAAUGCGAAUUGCAGAAUUCAGUGAAUCAUCGAAUCUUUGAACGCACAUUGCGCCCGCCAGUAUUCUGGCGGGCAUGCCUGUCUGAGCGUCGUUUCGACCCUCGCGCCCGGCUUCUGUCGGGGGCGGUGUUGGGGAUCGGCCACACCCUUCAGUGGGAGGCCGGCCCCUAAAUUCAGUGGCGACCACGCUGUAGCCUCCCCUGCGUAGUACUAAAACCACCUCGCAGGCGGAGAGCGGUGCGGCCCGCCGUAAAACCCCCCAACUUUUACAAGGUCGACCUCAGAUCAGGUAGGAAUACCCGCUGAACUUAAGCAUACAAUAAGCGGAGGA
RNAcentral lists this unclassified non-coding RNA (359 nucleotides) under soil metagenome. RNAcentral describes it as "partial contains 5.8S ribosomal RNA, internal transcribed spacer 2, and large subunit ribosomal RNA". The stretch from base 1 to 120 matches the Rfam family "5.8S ribosomal RNA", at positions 35 to 154 of the family's 154-position model. The record is from RNAcentral.